RNAcentral lists this ribosomal RNA (465 nucleotides) under uncultured bacterium. RNAcentral describes it as "bacterial SSU rRNA". It matches the Rfam family "Bacterial small subunit ribosomal RNA", at positions 23 to 507 of the family's 1533-position model. The record is from RNAcentral.
CUCAGAUUGAACGCUGGCGGCAUGCCUUACACAUGCAAGUCGAACGGCAGCACGGGAGCAAUCCUGGUGGCGAGUGGGCGAACGGGUGAGUAAUAUAUCGGAACGUGCCCGGUCGUGGGGGAUAACGUAGCGAAAGCUACGCUAAUACCGCAUACGAUCUACGGAUGAAAGCGGGGGAUCGCAAGACCUCGCGCGAUUGGAGCGGCCGAUAUCAGAUUAGGUAGUUGGUGAGGUAAAGGCUCACCAAGCCGACGAUCUGUAGCUGGUCUGAGAGGACGACCAGCCACACUGGGACUGAGACACGGCCCAGACUCCUACGGGAGGCAGCAGUGGGGAAUUUUGGACAAUGGGCGCAAGCCUGAUCCAGCAAUGCCGCGUGAGUGAUGAAGGCCUUAGGGUUGUAAAGCUCUUUUACCCGAGAUGAUAAUGACAGUAUCGGGAGAAUAAGCACCGGCUAACUACGUG